Molecule: long non-coding RNA, 540 nt
Organism: Cyprinodon variegatus (sheepshead minnow)
Lineage: Eukaryota; Metazoa; Chordata; Actinopteri; Cyprinodontiformes; Cyprinodontidae
Exons: 3
Source: RefSeq, a predicted model, not a curated record
UGGGAUUUCAAAAUCGUCCAGGAUUCUGAUGGACUACAGUGCAGCUUGGAGUCCAAACACACCCGGUACCAGAACCGAGCCGUCAGCCCCGGUGCUGAUCAGGGAAGCCCGGGGGACGGAGGCAGGGAGCCACGGAGGGAACAGAGCUCCUUCGUGAAAGUCAGCCGCCCCCGCUCUGAACACCACGAGAUAGAACAGGCCACCAGUUAUUAGUGGUGAAAAAUGGAGGCAAGAUGAAGGAAUCUACACUGAAACAAGUUAAGCUGAGCUUUGGGAAGCCAACAGGUCAGGGGGAAAGAAAGAGAGAAGGAGAUUCACACAUGAUGUAAACAAAGAUCCUCAUCAAACAAACUGAAGUUCUAGAAACCUCCUCUGUCUCCUCUCCUCAGGAGAAGAUGAUCUCCAGGAUCCUGCUGCUCAUCAUCAUCAACUCAUGUCUCUGUGGUCAGUUUCCAUCUUCUCUUUGUUCUAAAUCCAUCAAUAAUCAGUGAAAAGUCUGUCAGUGAAGGUAACACUUCAAUCCUCCAGCUGCAUUUGAUC